CUGGAACGCGCUUCGGCGCACCCAGAAACCCUUUGUGAACUUAUACCUAUUUGUUGCCUCGGCGCAGGCCGGCCUCUUCACUGAGGCCCCCUGGAAACAGGGAGCAGCCCGCCGGCGGCCAACUAAACUCUUGUUUCUUUAGUGAAUCUCUGAGUAAAAAACAUAAAUGAAUCAAAACUUUCAACAACGGAUCUCUUGGUUCUGGCAUCGAUGAAGAACGCAGCGAAAUGCGAUAAGUAAUGUGAAUUGCAGAAUUCAGUGAAUCAUCGAAUCUUUGAACGCACAUUGCGCCCUCUGGUAUUCCGGAGGGCAUGCCUGUUCGAGCGUCAUUUCAACCCUCAAGCCUGGCUUGGUGAUGGGGCACUGCCUUCUAACGAGGGCAGGCCCUGAAAUCUAGUGGCGAGCUCGCUAGGACCCCGAGCGUAGUAGUUAUAUCUCGUUCUGGAAGGCCCUGGCGGUGCCCUGCCGUUAAACCCCCAACUUCUGAAAAUUUGACCUCG
Molecule: ribosomal RNA, 500 nt
Filed under: Phomopsis sp. FLS-2010
Lineage: Eukaryota; Fungi; Ascomycota; Sordariomycetes; Diaporthales; Diaporthaceae
Description: eukaryotic LSU rRNA
Rfam family: 5.8S ribosomal RNA (bases 176-329)
Source: RNAcentral